This 468-nucleotide ribosomal RNA is filed under the name uncultured bacterium. RNAcentral's name for it is "partial 16S ribosomal RNA". It matches the Rfam family "Bacterial small subunit ribosomal RNA", at positions 28 to 507 of the family's 1533-position model. The record is from RNAcentral.
GACGAACGCUGGCGGCGUGCUUAACACAUGCAAGUCGAACGGAAAGGCCCUGCUUUGUUGGGGUGCUCGAGUGGCGAACGGGUGAGUAACACGUGAGUAACCUGCACUUGACUGUGGGAUAACUUCAGGAAACUGGGGCUAAUACCGGAUAGGAGCUCCUGCUGCAUGGUGGGGGUUGGAAAGUUUCGGCGGUUGGGGGUGGACUAGCGGCUCAUCAGCUUGUUGGUGGGGUAGUGGCUGACCAAGGCUUUGACGGGUAGCCGGCCUGAGAGGGUGAGCGGCUCAACUGGGCCUGGGCUACGGCCCAGACCAGUCCCGGACGGAGGGGUGCAGUAUAGUGCACUAUGCGCGGGAGCCUGGUGUAGCCAAGCCGCGUGGGGGAUGAGGGGCAUGGGGUUGGAUAGUGAUUUCGUCUGUCCCGGAGUGUGAGUGACGGUACCGGGUAAAGAAGCACCGGCUAACUACGUG